This 253-nucleotide ribosomal RNA is filed under the name uncultured bacterium. RNAcentral describes it as "partial 16S ribosomal RNA". It matches the Rfam family "Bacterial small subunit ribosomal RNA", at positions 524 to 776 of the family's 1533-position model. The record is from RNAcentral.
UACGUAGGGGGCAAGCGUUGUCCGGAAUCAUUGGGCGUAAAGCGCGUGUAGGCGGCCCGGUAAGUCCGCUGUGAAAGUCCAGGGCUCAACCCUGGAAUGCCGGUGGAUACUGUCGGGCUCGAGUCCGGAAGAGGCGAGUGGAAUUCCUGGUGUAGCGGUGAAAUGCGCAGAUAUCAGGAGGAACACCAAUGGCGAAGGCAGCUCGCUGGGACGGUACUGACGCUGAGACGCGAAAGCGUGGGGAGCAAACAGG